RNAcentral lists this ribosomal RNA (133 nucleotides) under uncultured bacterium. Its description in RNAcentral is "partial 16S ribosomal RNA". The record is from RNAcentral.
GAGAUUAGCCGACCCUUCCUCUGGUCCCGGUCAGUUCUUCCUAGGACCUGACAGUGGUUUACACGGCGUAACCGCUUCAUCCCACACGCGGCAUUGCUCCGUCACGCUUUCGCGCAUUGCGGAAGAUUCGUUA